This 449-nucleotide RNase P RNA is filed under the name Thermodesulfobacteriota bacterium. Its description in RNAcentral is "RNase P RNA component class A". It matches the Rfam family "Bacterial RNase P class A". Rfam says of the family: Ribonuclease P (RNase P) is a ubiquitous endoribonuclease, found in archaea, bacteria and eukarya as well as chloroplasts and mitochondria. Its best characterised activity is the generation of mature 5'-ends of tRNAs by cleaving the 5'-leader elements of precursor-tRNAs. Cellular RNase Ps are ribonucleoproteins. The record is from RNAcentral. Lineage: Bacteria; Pseudomonadati; Thermodesulfobacteriota.
GGAAGGGAAUGAGAUGGUCGCCCCGCCUCCUGUCCCAAGGACCCGGAGGUGGGGAGGAAAGUCCGAGCUCCACAGGGCAGGGUGGUCCGUAACACGGACAAUUCCGUCUCCCAAGAGGCGGAAGAAGGAAAGUGCCACAGAAAAGAUACCGUCCCGCCCCGCGGGAUAAGGGUGAAAAGGCGAGGUAAGAGCUCACCAGCGCCCCGAGCGAUCGAGGCGGCUUGGUAAACCCCACCCGGAGCAAGACCAAAUAGGUCCCGUUUCUCCUUGCACCAAAGCAGGGAGAGGAGAAAGGCCCAUUCAACUCCCCCUCCAACCCGGAGGGGAGACGGGACGGGUAAGGUCGCUUGAGGUCCUGAGCAAUCAGGAUCCCAGAUACAUGACCAUCCCUCCGGUCCCGUCCCUGGCGGGGCCGGAGGACAGAACUCGGCUUACGGUUCUCUCCGCUC